This is a long non-coding RNA of Mastomys coucha (southern multimammate mouse), 351 nucleotides long. RefSeq lists it as uncharacterized. NCBI's taxonomy places the organism in Eukaryota, Metazoa, Chordata, Mammalia, Rodentia, Muridae. The transcript is spliced from 2 exons. The record is from RefSeq and is a predicted model, not a curated record.
ACAUCAAAUUCUCCUCAUUCUGAAUUCCCAGAGUUCCACUGUUGCUUCUUCUUUCAUAUGGAGAAAGUUCUCUGAUUAAUAAGGGAAAAAUUCAAAGUUCUACCCAGGAUGGAAACAGCAUCAGUGAUGUUAAAGCCGCCUCGUAAUAUCAGUUUGGAGCCUUUUGUUCUAGCUUUCCCCAGUAAGGAGGAAGAGAGCCUCCUUCUGGUCAAUUGUAUGGAAAGAAGUUUUCUUUUUCUACUUAAAGUUCUUUAUUAACUUACAAGCUGAAGUUACAACCAGCCGCUUUUAUAGAAAAAGAUUCAAUAAUAUUAACACAGAAGAGCAAAUAAAAGAAUCUUUGUCAACUUC